Molecule: ribosomal RNA, 305 nt
Filed under: uncultured bacterium
Lineage: Bacteria
Description: bacterial SSU rRNA
Rfam family: Bacterial small subunit ribosomal RNA
Source: RNAcentral
UUACCUACGGGACGCAGCAGUGAGGAAUAUUGGUCAAUGGGCGGGAGCCUGAACCAGCCAAGUCGCGUGAGGGAAGACGGUCCUAUGGAUUGUAAACCUCUUUUGUCGGGGAGCAAAGAGACCACGUGUGGUCAAAAGCGAGAGUACCCGAAGAAAAAGCAUCGGCUAACUCCGUGCCAGCAGCCGCGGUAAUACGGAGGAUGCGAGCGUUAUCCGGAUUUAUUGGGUUUAAAGGGUGCGCAGGCGGAAGAUCAAGUCAGCGGUAAAAUUGAGAGGCUCAACCUCUUCGAGCCGUUGAAACUGGU